Molecule: long non-coding RNA, 1163 nt
Organism: Spinacia oleracea (spinach)
Lineage: Eukaryota; Viridiplantae; Streptophyta; Magnoliopsida; Caryophyllales; Amaranthaceae
Exons: 2
Source: RefSeq, a predicted model, not a curated record
ACUACGCCUAUCUACAUAACUGAUUUUUAUUUCUUUGCAGCUUUCUCUCUCCACUGUAUUCCCCCACAUCUCUCCAUCACUGGCUGAAAUUAAAUUGAGUAGUACAAAAACCUACUGGUGGUGGUUCAUAGCUACGACCACCCAAUUAGGGUGGGGGAUUAGGUCUUGCAAGAAAGGCUCCAUCGGAGAUUCUUAGUUUUCCAUUUCAGGAUAUUCGAAGUCGCCUCUAGAGCUCUUCCUCGGAGCUAUCGUCACUACAUGUUUUGUUUCCCUCCGACAUCCAUAUUAUAAGGAGAAUAUACUUAGGAGCCUCUCCGCACGAGAGUCACUCCUGAGUAGUCAUUACAAAUAAUGGAAGAUAAACGAGGACUAGCUUUAGGAUCUAAAUACAUUUUCCCUACAAUGAUAUGACCAACAUUUGCUAUCCAAUCUGCUGCUGAGUUGGCUUCUCUGAAGACAUGAUUAAUUUUCCAAGUGUCGAAGAAGGCGAGGAGAUGCUUAAUAUCCUGAAUGAUGUUAUGAAUUUUCCACGGAGGAGUGUACUUUCCCUUAAUAGAAUUGAUGACAAGAAGAUUAUCACCUUCGAUCUGAAUGUGAGAAAUGUUGAGCCAACGAGCUUCUUGGAGACCCUUGUGGAGGGCGAUAGCUUCAGCCAUGAACGCCUGAGUGUGACCAAGAUUAAAAGUACAUGCCGGGACCGGGUUGCCUGCACUGUUGCGGAUGAUAAUACCUGCUGCUGCUGAAGUAGUUUUACUGGAGCCGUCAAAAUUGAGUUUGAAGUAACCUGAUGGAGGGGGGUGCCAGCGAACCAAGAUCAGGGGGGAAGGAGGAGAGGGAGAAAUGGAGGGAUGAGGGGUGAAAGGGGUGCCCGUGAGUUGGUGAUGGUCUAGAAGGAGACGACAUUGUCAUUCGUGGUAAGCCGAGCUGGCUUGGUGGAACACUCUAUAGGGGUUAAAGGAAGUGUUUUUGAAAAUACAAUUGUUCCUUUCUUUCCAUAGCGACCAUAUGAGGAAGGAGAAUUUGCAUAUAUGGCAGAAGAGUAAUUUUUGAUGGAAUUUAUGUUGUCAAGUAAAUCAUGUGAGACCGAGUAGAAUAUGCAUCCAAAGAAUGGUAAGACGGAUUUGCAACUUUAUAAAUAUUAUAAGAGGAGUUUCUUACUCCAA